Molecule: ribosomal RNA, 253 nt
Filed under: uncultured bacterium
Lineage: Bacteria
Description: partial 16S ribosomal RNA
Rfam family: Bacterial small subunit ribosomal RNA
Source: RNAcentral
UACGUAGGGGGCAAGCGUUGUCCGGAAUCAUUGGGCGUAAAGAGCGUGUAGGCGGCCCGGUAAGUCCGCUGUGAAAGUCCAGGGCUCAACCCUGGGAUGCCGGUGGAUACUGUCGGGCUCGAGUCCGGAAGAGGAGUGUGGAAUUCCUGGUGUAGCGGUGAAAUGCGCAGAUAUCAGGAGGAACACCAAUGGCGAAGGCAGCUCUCUGGGACGUGACUGACGCUGAGACGCGAAAGCGUGGGGAGCAAACAGG